This 1185-nucleotide ribosomal RNA is filed under the name Triticum aestivum (bread wheat). Its description in RNAcentral is "partial small subunit ribosomal RNA". Lineage: Eukaryota; Viridiplantae; Streptophyta; Magnoliopsida; Poales; Poaceae. The record is from RNAcentral.
AUGGUCGCCGAGCUCCUGCCCGCCGGCGACGGCGACCGCGCCAGUCUACUCUGCUAUUGGUCAUAUGAUCGUGAAUGGGUGAAGAAAACUCUCCCCUUUCCCCUCAAAUGCCCUUGGUCUAGUGCCCGUACCUUCUCGCACCAAGGGAAGCUCUGGUGGUUGGAUCUUUCGCAAGGUCUUCUCUGCUGCGAUCCUUUUGCUAAAGAGACGGAGCUCCUCUUCGUGCCAUUCCCUGAUGAUAUAGAUACACACACUCGAGGCAGAGAUGUCGGCAACCGUCGCUGCGUAAAUCUGAGCAAUGGUGCGCUGUGGUUAGCGGAGAUGACUUACCACCGCCGUGCGCUGUUCGUUAAGAUGUGGAAGCUGGGCACUCAAGGGCAAUGGACUCCCGAUUACACAGUUAAGUUUGCGGAUAUCUGGGCUGACAGGAGCUACAAGGAAACUGGAAUACCGAAGAAGAAGCCGGCAUUGGUAGCCAUCAACCCUGAUGAUCCCGAGGUGCUUUACUUCUCUUUGGAGGGUAAUCUCCUCCAAGUUAACAUGUGUGCCAAAAGAGUUGAGCUGUGUGUGGCUUUCAGGCGCCCUACCACAGAUUUGAAAAUAGACCAGGGGUCCUCGCAGUUUAUUCUCACUUGGAAUCUUCCGACAUCGAUAGUUUCAUCAUCAGUAGGACGAAAGCAAGAAGAGCGGUCAUCGAGGGAUUCAGCUUUUGAUAUGAUUGCAGAUUCAUUCACCAAUGCAUGCGCUAGUGUGCUUGAUGAUAUGGAAUUUAAUCAGCUGGCUAUGACUGCAAUUGAAUACCUUAACCAGAGCCGAAAGGAAGAGAAGGUCAAGUUCAGAUUGUCUGAGCGUCUCUGCCAAUGUUAUUUUGACGAGGAGGAGGCUAGUACUUCCCACAGAAAGCAAUAUAUCCAUAUGAACUUCUAUGUUCACACGGAGUCUGAAAGGCUUCCGCAGCUUGUGUUUGCGGAGUUUGUCGAAGCUAAUAGGAACGAUGAUUGUUCCUGGGAUUUGUUGUCAUGCAAAACUAUAACCAAGAACAGUCCUGGCGUCCUGUAUAACACAAAUGUUGAUGUGGGACAGAAGAGGAAGAGAUCACUUCGUUGUUAUGCAUGCGAGGGUAAAAUGAAGCAUCCAAGCAGCGGAUUUUCAGCUGUGUCUCGUACUGAUGCUAGCUACGACUGA